AUUGAACGCUGGCGGCAUGCUUUACACAUGCAAGUCGAACGGCAGCGCGGGCUUCGGCCUGGCGGCGAGUGGCGAACGGGUGAGUAAUACAUCGGAACGUACCCAGUAGUGGGGGAUAGCUCGGCGAAAGCCGGAUUAAUACCGCAUACGACCUGAGGGUGAAAGCGGGGGAUCUUCGGACCUCGCGCUAUUGGGGCGGCCGAUGGCAGAUUAGCUAGUUGGUGGGGUAAAGGCCUACCAAGGCGACGAUCUGUAGCUGGUCUGAGAGGACGACCAGCCACACUGGGACUGAGACACGGCCCAGACUCCUACGGGAGGCAGCAGUGGGGAAUUUUGGACAAUGGGCGAAAGCCUGAUCCAGCAAUGCCGCGUGUGUGAUGAAGGCCUUCGGGUUGUAAAGCACUUUUGGCGGGAACGAAAAGGACUGUGCCAAUACCACGGUUCGAUGACGGUACCCGCAGAAUAAGCACCGGCUAACUACGUG
RNAcentral lists this ribosomal RNA (484 nucleotides) under uncultured bacterium. Its description in RNAcentral is "partial 16S ribosomal RNA". It matches the Rfam family "Bacterial small subunit ribosomal RNA", at positions 29 to 507 of the family's 1533-position model. The record is from RNAcentral.